Molecule: unclassified non-coding RNA, 376 nt
Filed under: soil metagenome
Description: partial contains 5.8S ribosomal RNA, internal transcribed spacer 2, and large subunit ribosomal RNA
Rfam family: 5.8S ribosomal RNA (bases 1-120)
Source: RNAcentral
GAUGAAGAACGUAGUGAAAUGCGAUAAGUAAUGUGAAUUGCAGAAUUCAGUGAAUCAUCGAAUCUUUGAACGCAUCUUGCGCUCCUUGGUAUUCUGAGGAGCAUGCCUGUUUGAGUGUCAUUAAAUUCUCAACUACACUGACUUUGAAUUGGUGUGGCUUGGAUUUGGGGGGAAAAUUGUUGUGGGCUUUUUGUAUAGUCUGCUCCCCUGAAAUUGAUUAGCGGUACCUUUGUGGAACUGUCUACAGGUGUGAUAAUUAUCUACAUCUUAGACAUCUGCUGGAAUGCUGCUUUCUAAACCUUACUUGUAUUGACAAUCUUGACCUCAAAUCAGGUAGGACUACCCGCUGAACUUAAGCAUAUCAAUAAGAGGAGGA